GCUCUGCCCCUCCUCCUCUUGUUCUGUCCACUGUGACUCAUGAGUUCCCAUUGAAAGCGACAGGCUGUGGUCUAUCUUGGGUUAGUUAUUAAACUCUUCGGAGUAGCUUUGCAGGAGGCAGGGGCGAAUGCGGCGGUGCGCAGCGAGGAAGUGUCGGGGAUUUAGCUAAAACAGUGUGUAAAGCUACUAGAAUCGCUUCGUAAUGCAGUGGCGUUGACACAGUAGAGAAAUACUCUUUCUAGAUAUCAUAACGGAGCUAAACACAUUGUGUUUGCAGUCCUGUAAUGAAGUUAUCUGGAGCUGUCAGUCCUGACAAGCUGACAGGAAGGGAACAGCAUUCAUGGAUGUAGUGGACACUUUCAACCAUUUGAUUCCCAGUGACCAGUUGGAUGACUCCUUGCUGAUAGGGCAGAACUUGGAAUGUGAAGCAAGUAAUGACUUUGGAACAGGUGUCGACCAGCUGGGAGACUCACUGAGGAACAUGCUUAGUGAUAAAGAUCCCAUGUUUGGAUCUGCAAGUUCACACUUCAAUAUCUUAGAUAAUGAAGACGCCAACUUCCAGAUCGCYGAAGCAACAGUAGUUGCAGAUCUUGAUGUUGGUGCAACAGAGGGUAUCCUCGGUACCGCUGCUGGUGGGUUGGUUGGUACAGAGACUUCGCCAGUCAAACGGUCUGUUGGCAGACCCAGGAAAUACGCAUUAGGAGUUACCCCAGAGCGAAGUGCAGGCAGGGGUCUUCCAACAACAAAAAGCCCCGGGAACCUGGGAGACCUAGAAAGAAGUCCACACUGAGUG
Non-coding RNA from Salvelinus sp. IW2-2015, 793 nucleotides. The record is from RefSeq and is a predicted model, not a curated record. NCBI's taxonomy places the organism in Eukaryota, Metazoa, Chordata, Actinopteri, Salmoniformes, Salmonidae.